RNAcentral lists this ribosomal RNA (634 nucleotides) under uncultured bacterium. Its description in RNAcentral is "bacterial SSU rRNA". It matches the Rfam family "Bacterial small subunit ribosomal RNA", at positions 8 to 677 of the family's 1533-position model. The record is from RNAcentral.
AGAGUUUGAUCCUGGCUCAUAACGAACGUUGGCGGCGUGGAUUAGGCAUGCAAGUCGGGGGAAUCCCAGCAAUGGGGGAACCGGCGUAAGGGGCAGUAAUGCGUGGGUACCUACCCUGGGGUUCGGGAUAGCCGUCAGAGAUGGCGGGUAAUACCGGAUGACCUCGGGAGAGCAAAGAUUUAUCGCCCCGGGAGGGGCCCACGUGAUAUUAGCUUGUUGGUGAGGUAACGGCUCACCAAGGCGAAGAUGUCUAGCGGGUGUGAGAGCACGACCCGCGCCACUCGCACUGAGACACUGGCGAGACACCUACGGGUGGCCGCAGUCGAGGAUCUUCGGCAAUGGGCGCAAGCCUGACCGAGCGACGCCGCGUGUGCGAUGAAGGCCUUCGGGUUGUAAAGCACUGUCGAGGGGGAGGAAAGCGAAAGCUUGACCUAACCCUGGAGGAAGCACGGGCUAAGUUCGUGCCAGCAGCCGCGGUAAGACGAACCGUGCGAACGUUGUUCGGAAUCACUGGGCUUAAAGGGCGCGUAGGCGGGCUGCCGCGUCCGGGGUGAAAUCCCACGGCUCAACCGUGGAACUGCCUCGGAUACGGGCGGCCUCGAGGGGGGUAGGGGCAUCUGGAACUGUGAGUGGA